Molecule: small nuclear RNA, 164 nt
Organism: Dicentrarchus labrax (European seabass)
Lineage: Eukaryota; Metazoa; Chordata; Actinopteri; Moronidae
Gene: U1
Rfam family: U1 spliceosomal RNA
About the family: U1 is a small nuclear RNA (snRNA) component of the spliceosome (involved in pre-mRNA splicing). Its 5' end forms complementary base pairs with the 5' splice junction, thus defining the 5' donor site of an intron. There are significant differences in sequence and secondary structure between metazoan and yeast U1 snRNAs, the latter being much longer (568 nucleotides as compared to 164 nucleotides in human).
Source: Ensembl
AUACUUACCUGGCAGGGGAGAUACCAUGAUCAAGAAGGUGGUUCACCCAGGGCGAGGCUCAGCCAUUGCACUCCGGUUGAGCUGACCUCUGCGAAUUCCCCAAAUGUGGGAAUCUCGACUGCAUAAUUUCUGGUAGUGGGGGACUGCGUUCGCGCUCUCCCCUG